GAUGAACGCUGGCGGCGUGCCUAAUACAUGCAAGUCGAGCGAACAGACGAGGAGCUUGCUCCUCUGACGUUAGCGGCGGACGGGUGGGUAACACGUGGAUAACCUACCUAUAAGACUUGGAUAACUUCGGGAAACCGGAGCUAAUACCGGAUAAUAUAUUGAACCGCAUGGUUCAAUAGUGAAAGACGGUUUUGCUGUCACUUAUAGAUGGAUCCGCGCCGCAUUAGCUAGUUGGUAAGGUAACGGCUUACCAAGGCAACGAUGCGUAGCCGACCUGAGAGGGUGAUCGGCCACACUGGAACUGAGACACGGUCCAGACUCCUACGGGAGGCAGCAGUAGGGAAUCUUCCGCAAUGGGCGAAAGCCUGACGGAGCAACGCCGCGUGAGUGAUGAAGGUCUUCGGAUCGUAAAACUCUGUUAUUAGGGAAGAACAAAUGUGUAAGUAACUAUGCACGUCUUGACGGUACCUAAUCAGAAAGCCACGGCUAACUACGUG
This 497-nucleotide ribosomal RNA is filed under the name uncultured bacterium. RNAcentral describes it as "partial 16S ribosomal RNA". It matches the Rfam family "Bacterial small subunit ribosomal RNA", at positions 28 to 507 of the family's 1533-position model. The record is from RNAcentral.